Molecule: ribosomal RNA, 548 nt
Filed under: uncultured Glomeromycotina
Lineage: Eukaryota; Fungi; Glomeromycota
Description: SSU rRNA
Rfam family: Eukaryotic small subunit ribosomal RNA
Source: RNAcentral
UUGGAGGGCAAGUCUGGUGCCAGCAGCCGCGGUAAUUCCAGCUCCAAUAGCGUAUAUUAAAGUUGUUGCAGUUAAAAAGCUCGUAGUUGAAUUUCGGGAUCAGUUGGUCGGUCGUGCCUCGGUACGUACUGGUCAAAUUGAUUCCUACCUUCUGACGAACCACGAUGUCAUUAAUUUGGUGUCGCGGGAAAUCAGGACUGUUACUUUGAAAAAAUUAGAGUGUUUAAAGCAGGCUCGCGCUUGAAUACAUUAGCAUGGAAUAAUGAAAUAGGACGUUUGAUUCUAUUUUGUUGGUUUCUAGGAUCGACGUAAUGAUUAAUAGGGAUAGUUGGGGGCAUUAGUAUUCAAUUGUCAGAGGUGAAAUUCUUGGAUUUAUUGAAGACUAACUACUGCGAAAGCAUUUGCCAAGGAUGUUUUCAUUAAUCAAGAACGAAAGUUAGGGGAUCGAAGACGAUCAGAUACCGUCGUAGUCUUAACCAUAAACUAUGCCGACUAGGGAUCGGAUGAUGUUAAUUUUUUAAUGACCCAUUCGGCGCCUUACGGGAAAC